RNAcentral lists this ribosomal RNA (973 nucleotides) under uncultured bacterium. RNAcentral's name for it is "bacterial SSU rRNA". It matches the Rfam family "Bacterial small subunit ribosomal RNA", at positions 1 to 933 of the family's 1533-position model. The record is from RNAcentral.
AUCCAAGAACUUUGAUUCUGGCUCAGGAUGAACGCUGGCGGCGUGCCUAAUACAUGCAAGUCGAACGCACAGCGAAAGGUGCUUGCACCUUUCAAGUGAGUGGCGAACGGGUGAGUAACACGGUGGACAACCUGCCUCAAGGCUGGGGAUAACAUUUGGAAACAGAUGCUAAUACCGAAUAAAACUUAGUGUCGCAUGACACAAAGUUAAAAGGCGCUUCGGCGUCACCUAGAGAUGGAUCCGCGGUGCAUUAGUUAGUUGGUGGGGUAAAGGCCUACCAAGACAAUGAUGCAUAGCCGAGUUGAGAGACUGAUCGGCCACAUUGGGACUGAGACACGGCCCAAACUCCUACGGGAGGCUGCAGUAGGGAAUCUUCCACAAUGGGCGAAAGCCUGAUGGAGCAACGCCGCGUGUGUGAUGAAGGCUUUCGGGUCGUAAAGCACUGUUGUAUGGGAAGAACAGCUAGAAUAGGAAAUGAUUUUAGUUUGACGGUACCAUACCAGAAAGGGACGGCUAAAUACGUGCCAGCAGCCGCGGUAAUACGUAUGCCCCGAGCGUUAUCCGGAUUUAUUGGGCGUAAAGCGAGCGCAGACGGUUUAUUAAGUCUGAUGUGAAGGCCCGGAGCUCAACUCCCGGAAUGGCAUUGGAAACUGGUUAACUUGAGUGCAGUAGAGGUAAGUGGAACUCCAUGUGUAGCGGUGGAAUGCGUAGAUAUAUGGAAGAACCACCAGUGGGCGAAGGCGGCUUACUGGACUGCAACUGACGUUGAGGCUUCGAAAGUGGUGGGUAGCAAACAGGAUUAGAUAACCCUGGUAGUCCCACACCGUAAACGAUGAACACCUAGGUGUGUAAGGAGGUUUCCGCCCCUCCUUAGUUGCCGAAGCUAACCGCAUUAAGUGUUCCGCCCUGGGGAGAUACCGACCGCAAGGUUGCCAACCUCAAAUGAAUUGACCGGAAGGGCGAACAUCGCGGC